GAUGAACGCUGGCGGCGUGCCUAAUACAUGCAAGUCGAGCGAAAAGACGAGGAGCUUGCUCCUUUGACGUUAGCGGCGGACGGGUGAGUAACACGUGUAUAACCUCCCUAUCAGACUGGGAUAACUUCGGGAAACCGGAGCUAAUACCGGAUAAUCUCUUGAACCGCAUGGUUCAAUAGUGAAAGACGGUUUUGCUGUCACUUCUAGUUGGAUCCGCGCCGCAUUAGCUAGUUGGUAAGGUAACGGCUUACCAAGGCAACGAUGCGUAGCCGAGCUGAGAGGGUGAUCGGCCACACUGGAACUGAGACACGGUCCAGACUCCUACGGGAGGCAGCAGUAGGGAAUCUUCCGCAAUGGGCGAAAGCCUGACGGAGCAACGCCGCGUGAGUGAUGAAGGUCUUCGGAUCGUAAAACUCUGUUAUUAGGGAAGAACAAAUGUGUAAGUAACUAUGCACGUCUUGACGGUACCUAAUCAGAAAGCCACGGCUAACUACGUG
RNAcentral lists this ribosomal RNA (497 nucleotides) under uncultured bacterium. RNAcentral's name for it is "partial 16S ribosomal RNA". It matches the Rfam family "Bacterial small subunit ribosomal RNA", at positions 28 to 507 of the family's 1533-position model. The record is from RNAcentral.